UCCAACCACCUGGCCAUCCAUACCCCCAUCUGUGUAUCCAUCUCCCAAUUCCUUCAUUCCUUCAUCCAUCCAUUCAUUCAUUUUCCUGCCAUCCAGCAGAGCCAGGGUCCUGACUCCACACACCCUGUACCUGAUCUGAGGCAGCUGGUGACACCACGCGUAGCCUGGAAUGUUCUGUUCCCCGACUGACCCCGUGCCAUUGAAGUCAGGGACUGUGGACAGAAUGCCUUCUCUAUAUCUCCAUUCUUCAACAUCUGGCUCAGACCACACCUUUGCCCUGAACACAGAACCAAAAGGACUUCUCACUGCUCCAAUAUAGAGCAUUUUAGCUGAACUUCCUUGUGAAGCUUAUUUCAGCCCACCUGUGUCAACUGAGGAGUGCACCGCCCUUCCCCUGGAGCUGGGUCCUAGCCCCAGGCCUGUGGCCGAAUGCCAGGAAGAGCAGGAGUGUAUUCCAGCACCUUGACUUGGUUUACCCUGAGUUCCAGCCCCAGCCUCAUCUCCCACUGCACCCCAACUGAAUCUUCACCUGCAGUUCCCUGGCCCACCCAGGGAACUUUCUCAUCUCUCUGCCUUUGCUCACGCCGUCCCUUCUGCUCACCACUGAAGACUCGGCUCCCCAUGAAGUCUUUCUUGUCUCUCCAACU
Long non-coding RNA from Choloepus didactylus (southern two-toed sloth), 647 nucleotides. RefSeq lists it as uncharacterized. The transcript is spliced from 3 exons. The record is from RefSeq and is a predicted model, not a curated record. NCBI's taxonomy places the organism in Eukaryota, Metazoa, Chordata, Mammalia, Pilosa, Megalonychidae.